CCUACGGGUGGCAGCAGUGGGGGAUAUUGGACAAUGGGGGAAACCCUGAUCCAGCGACGUCGCGUGAGUGAAGAAGUAUUUCGGUAUGUAAAGCUCUAUCAGCAGGGAAGAAAGAAAUGACGGUACCUGAGUAAGAAGCCUCGGCUAACUACGUGCCAGCAGCCGCAGUAAUUCGUAGGGGGCAAGCGUUAUCCGGAAUUACUGGGUGUAAAGGGGGCGUAGGCGGUAAUGCAAGUCUGGAGGGAAAGGCGGGGGCCCAACCCCCGGACUGCUCUGGAAACUGUGUAACUGGAGUGCAGGAGAGGCAGGCGGAAUUCGUGGUGUAGCGGUGAAAUGCGUAGAUAUUAGGAGGAACACCAGUGGCGAAGGCGGCCUGCUGGACUGUAACUGACGUUGAGGCUCGAAAGCGUGGGGAGCAAACAGGAUUAGAUACCCUUGUAGUC
RNAcentral lists this ribosomal RNA (443 nucleotides) under uncultured bacterium. RNAcentral describes it as "partial 16S ribosomal RNA". It matches the Rfam family "Bacterial small subunit ribosomal RNA", at positions 338 to 795 of the family's 1533-position model. The record is from RNAcentral.